RNAcentral lists this long non-coding RNA (531 nucleotides) under Pan troglodytes (chimpanzee). Its description in RNAcentral is "long non-coding RNA NONPTRT011264". The record is from RNAcentral. Lineage: Eukaryota; Metazoa; Chordata; Mammalia; Primates; Hominidae.
CUAGGAAAGAAACCUUGACUGGUUCCCCAGGAUGAGAGCCAUGUCAUUGGUCAGCAGUGAUUCUGAAGGAGAACAGAAUGAGCUGAGAAACCUGCAGGAGAAGCUGGAGUCCACCAUGAAACUUGUCACGAACCUUUCUGGCCAGCUGUCGGAAUUAAAGGAUCAGAUGACAGAACAAAGGAAGCAGAAACAAAGAAUCGGUCUUCUAGGACAUCCUCCUCACAUGAAUGUCAACCCACAACAACCGGCAUAAGCAAAUGAAAGAAAGGAAUUGUAUUUACCUUUUAUAAUGAUUAUUAGUGUGGGUAUGGCUAAUGAGUUCUGAUUCACCCACGAAGGUUACAUUUAUGCUGAAUACAUUUGUAAAUACUCAGUUUUAUACUGUAUGUAUAUGAUUGCUACUCUAAAGGUUUGGAUAUAUGUAUUGUAAUUAGAAUUGUUGGCAUGAUGACAUUUCAUUUGUGCCAAAAAUAUUGAAAAUGCCUUUUUUGGAAGGACUAACAGAAAGCACCUGAUUUGCACUUGAACCAG